UUGGGCACAUGAUGUAGACACCACAACCAGAUGUGCCUGCCCAGACCUUGGACUGGGAGCUGGGGACAAUGAUGGAGAUGGCAUUGUGAAGACUGUUUCUCUAGCUGUGCAGCUGCAAGGUCACUAGACAGAUAAUCUGAAGUCGUAAAACAUGUUGUGCCUUAAAAAGUAAGAAAUAAUAUAAUGCAUGUCUCAAUUGAAUAACUGUCUUUGUUUCUCGCUUCUGUAAUAUGCUUCCCCCUGCACAGAUCUCCCCCCGCCCCACGAAAUGCUUAAAAGGUAGCUUGACUCUUUGUUCAGAGCUCAGUCCUUUGGAUGUUAAUCCAACUGGGUCGGUGCACCUAAAUAAUUAAAUAAUUGCUCCUCA
This 367-nucleotide long non-coding RNA is filed under the name Homo sapiens (human). RNAcentral's name for it is "HSALNT0127053". The record is from RNAcentral. Lineage: Eukaryota; Metazoa; Chordata; Mammalia; Primates; Hominidae.